AUUGAACGCUGGCGGCAUGCCUUACACAUGCAAGUCGAACGGUAACGGGCCUUCGGGUGCCGACGAGUGGCGAACGGGUGAGUAAUACAUCGGAACGUGCCCGAUCGUGGGGGAUAACGAGGCGAAAGCUUUGCUAAUACCGCAUACGAUCUACGGAUGAAAGCAGGGGACCGCAAGGCCUUGCGCGGACGGAGCGGCCGAUGGCAGUUUAGGUAGUUGGUGGGAUAAAAGCUUACCAAGCCGACGAUCUGUAGCUGGUCUGAGAGGAUGAUCAGCCACACUGGGACUGAGACACGGCCCAGACUCCUACGGGAGGCAGCAGUGGGGAAUUUUGGACAAUGGGCGCAAGCCUGAUCCAGCCAUGCCGCGUGCAGGAUGAAGGCCUUCGGGUUGUAAACUGCUUUUGUACGGAACGAAAAGCCUUCUUUUAAUACAGGAGGGUCAUGACGGUACCGGAAGAAUAAGCACCGGCUAACUACGUG
Molecule: ribosomal RNA, 482 nt
Filed under: uncultured bacterium
Lineage: Bacteria
Description: partial 16S ribosomal RNA
Rfam family: Bacterial small subunit ribosomal RNA
Source: RNAcentral